AUUGAACGCUGGCGGCAUGCUUUACACAUGCAAGUCGAACGGCAGCACGGGCUUCGGCCUGGUGUCGAGUGGCGAACGGGUGAGUAAUAUAUCGGAACGUACCCAGAAGUGGGGGAUAACGUAGCGAAAGUUACGCUAAUACCGCAUACGAUCUAUAGAUGAAAGCAGGGGACCGCAAGGCCUUGUGCUCCUGUAGCGGCCGAUAGCUGAUUAGCUCGUUGGUGAGGUAAAGGCUCACCAAGGCGACGAUCAGUAGCUGGUCUGAGAGGACGACCAGCCACACUGGAACUGAGACACGGUCCAGACUCCUACGGGAGGCAGCAGUGGGGAAUGUUGGACAAUGGGCGCAAGCCUGAUCCAGCACAGCCGCGUGAGUGAAGAAGGCCUUCGGGUUGUAGAGCUCUUCUGUCAGGGAAGAAAAGGUAGAGGCUAAUAUCCUUUGCUAAUGACGGUACCUGAAGAAUAAGCACCGGCUAACUACGUG
RNAcentral lists this ribosomal RNA (484 nucleotides) under uncultured bacterium. Its description in RNAcentral is "partial 16S ribosomal RNA". It matches the Rfam family "Bacterial small subunit ribosomal RNA", at positions 30 to 507 of the family's 1533-position model. The record is from RNAcentral.